CAACAGCUCCCUCUCUAAAAUCACACGUUCAGAUAUUUAAAAAUGGACAUAUCUUACAGUAUGUGUCAUGUAUUAACCUUCUCUUUCCUAAGGUUAUAGCAAGUUCCUGUUAAAGGUUCAAGUACAUUAGGUUAAUGACACUAAGAGGAUAAGUACAAUUCUCUGCUAUUGAAGACUACAUUGAGAACUGUACAUUAACUGAAGACUAUAAAGAAUUACUUAAUAUUAUAGUUUAUAAUAAUUUUAGCAUUUUUGUUUAAUACACA
Long non-coding RNA from Amphimedon queenslandica, 266 nucleotides. RefSeq lists it as uncharacterized. NCBI's taxonomy places the organism in Eukaryota, Metazoa, Porifera, Demospongiae, Haplosclerida, Niphatidae. The record is from RefSeq and is a predicted model, not a curated record. The transcript is spliced from 3 exons.